UACGUAGGGAGCGAGCGUUGUCCGGAAUCAUUGGGCGUAAAGAGCGCGUAGGCGGUCCGGUAAGUCCGCUCUGAAAGUCCGGGGCUCAACCCCGGGAGGCGGGCGGAUACUGUCGGGCUAGAGUCCGGAAGAGGCGAGUGGAAUUCCUGGUGUAGCGAUGAAAUGCGCAGAUAUCAGGAGGAACACCAAUGGCGAAGGCAGCUCGCUGGGACGGUACUGACGCUGAGGCGCGAAAGCGUGGGGAGCAAACAGG
RNAcentral lists this ribosomal RNA (253 nucleotides) under uncultured bacterium. RNAcentral describes it as "partial 16S ribosomal RNA". It matches the Rfam family "Bacterial small subunit ribosomal RNA", at positions 524 to 776 of the family's 1533-position model. The record is from RNAcentral.